This 301-nucleotide ribosomal RNA is filed under the name uncultured bacterium. RNAcentral describes it as "partial 16S ribosomal RNA". It matches the Rfam family "Bacterial small subunit ribosomal RNA", at positions 509 to 807 of the family's 1533-position model. The record is from RNAcentral.
CAGCCGCCGCGGGAAUACGGAGGGGGCUAGCGUUGUUCGGAAUUACUGGGCGUAAAGCGCACGUAGGCGGCUUGGUAAGUUAGAGGUGAAAGCCUGGAGCUCAACUCCAGAAUUGCCUUUAAGACUGCCGAGCUAGCAGGUGAGAGAGGUAAGUGGAAUUCCGAGUGUAGAGGUGAAAUUCGUAGAUAUUCGGAAGAACACCAGUGGCGAAGGCGGCUUACUGGCUCAUACUGGACGCUGAGGUGCGAAAGCGUGGGGAGCAAACAGGAUUAGAUACCCCGGUAGUCCCUGUCUCUUAUAC